UUAAUUUUAAUUAGGUUGGGCAGUCUGUUGAAUUAGGUUAUGCCGCUUGUGCCUCACUCGAUCACGUAGUCCACUGAAGCCAAAGAAGAAUACACACAAACUGACAAACACAGAUGAAAGAUAGCCGCCUGAUAACAUAACACAAAGCCACACAUAUAUUGAAUCUGAUACUCUUCGACAGUCCGACUCGCGCAUCGUGAAGCUCGAAUUAAAAGUUCACCAUGGAUGAAAGUAUUUUGCAGCAAGAAGCGCCUCAAAAUCCAUCGACAGAUGAAGUGGUACGUUGAUUUGAUUGGAGAACCAGAGGAGUUUUUGCAGCUUGAGAAAUUGGAAAAUGGUGAGCACAUUCUGAAUUUUUUGCUUUCUUUCUAUUUCUAAACUGCUGCAUUUCUGAAUCUGCUGCAUUUCUGAAUAUUAUGCUUGAGAAAUUGGAAAAUGGUGAGCACAUUCUGAAUUUUUUGCUUUCUUUCUAUUUCUAAACUGCUGCAUUUCUGAAUCUGCUGCAUUUCUGAAUAUUAUGCUUGAGAAAUUGGAAAAUGGUGAGCACAUUCUGAAUUUUUUGCUUUCUUUCUAUUUCUAAACUGCUGCAUUUCUGAAUCUGCUGCAUUUCUGAAUAUUAUGCUUGAGAAAUUGGAAAAUGGUGAGCACAUUCUGAAUUUUUUGCUUUCUUUCUAUUUCUAAACUGCUGCAUUUCUGAAUCUGCUGCAUUUCUGAAUAUUAUGCUUCAUUUGACAGUUCCUGUUAGUUGCUGUUAAAUACUUUGUGUAUACUGGAGAUAAAUUGUGUAUACUCAUCAUUUGUGUAUACUGGAAAUUACAUUAAUCUGAGUGGUUUUGAGAAGAUAAUAAUAUGGCACAGUUUGGUCAAAAAAGAGCUCAUCCUUGUCUUGUCCUUGCGUUUUUUGGUUUGCUGGUCUACCCAUGAAUCAUGCAAUAUGAAAACUGUAUUAGGGCCUCUACGCUUGCCAAGGCAGACUGCAAAGCCAUUAGUGCACCCCCUUAAAUUAAUGUUUAUUUGGUGUUUUCAUCUUAGACUUAAACACAGGUUACUUGAUAUUGUGUUUUCUGCUUUUGCAACUUUGUCUUCAUGUGCUCUUUUUCUUGGUUGUUUUAAUAUUGUGUUUUGUUUAUAUCAAUUUUUUCAGAUGAGCUAACUGGGGUUGGAGCUUCCAUUCAGCACCUAGACAUUGACGAAGAUUAGCAUAUAACUUGCUUUUGAGAAUGUAAUAGGCGAUCCAGGAGGCAUGAAACUGAUAUGCUUUUGAGGCAUGAAACUGAUCAACUGAAUGUGUAUUAAUAUUUAUGUAAACUUUGGAUGGAUCAUGGAUGGAUGCAUAAUUCUUACUUAAGUUUUAAUUAUUUAUGUAU
RNAcentral lists this long non-coding RNA (1367 nucleotides) under Daucus carota (carrot). Its description in RNAcentral is "long non-coding RNA (DCAR_LNC007428)". The record is from RNAcentral. Lineage: Eukaryota; Viridiplantae; Streptophyta; Magnoliopsida; Apiales; Apiaceae.